UGAUGGCGAAAACAGCCAGGAAAUAUCAGGAAGCGAAAGAAAGUUGAAUACACCAAAGCUUAAGCAUAGUCUAGCGCGAGACUUUCCCUUCCGAUUCUGUAUAUCUCGAAUUGUAUCUUAUUUGUUCUCCUUUUAUUUUGCUUCCUUCCUUUUGAUUGAUAUGUGAAAGAUUCUUUUUACUGCCUCGAGGAA
Molecule: non-coding RNA, 192 nt
Filed under: Protocruzia adhaerens
Lineage: Eukaryota; Ciliophora; Spirotrichea
Source: RNAcentral